RNAcentral lists this ribosomal RNA (465 nucleotides) under uncultured Weissella sp. Its description in RNAcentral is "bacterial SSU rRNA". It matches the Rfam family "Bacterial small subunit ribosomal RNA", at positions 338 to 795 of the family's 1533-position model. The record is from RNAcentral. Lineage: Bacteria; Bacillati; Bacillota; Bacilli; Lactobacillales; Lactobacillaceae.
CCUACGGGUGGCUGCAGUAGGGAAUCUUCCACAAUGGACGAAAGUCUGAUGGAGCAACGCCGCGUGUGUGAUGAAGGGUUUCGGCUCGUAAAACACUGUUGUAAGCGAAGAAUGACAUUGAGAGUAACUGUUCAGUGUGUGACGGUAUCUUACCAGAAAGGAACGGCUAAAUACGGGUCAGCAGCCGCGGUAAUAGGUAUGUUCCCAGCGUUAUCCGGAUUUAUUGGGCGUAAGGCGAGCGCAGACGGUUUUUUAAGUGCGAAGGGAAAGCCCACGGCUUAACUGGAGAAGUGCUUUGGAAACUGGAUAACUUGAGUGCAGUAGAGGAAAGUGGAACUCCAUGUGUAGCGGUGAAAUGCGUAGAUAUAUGGGAGAACACCGGUGGCGAAGGCGGCUCUCUGGACUGUAACUGACGUUGAGGCUGGAAAGUGUGGGUAGCAAACAGGAUUAGAUACCCGAGUAGUC